GACGAACGCUGGCGGCGUGCUUAACACAUGCAAGUCGAACGGAAAGGCCCUGCUUUUGUGGUGUGCUCGAGUGGCGAACGGGUGAGUAACACGUGUGUAACCUGCCCUUGAUUUUGGUAUAACUUCAGGAAACUGGGGCUAAUACCGUAUAGGAGCUCCUGCUGCAUUGUGGGGGUUGGAUAGUUUCGGCGGUUGGGGAUGGACUCGCGGCUUAUCAGCUUGUUGGUGGGGUAGUGGCUUACCAAGGCGUUGACGGGUAGCCGGCCUGGGAGGGUGACCGGCCACAUAGGGAGUGAGGUACGGCCCAGACGCAUAAGGGAGGAAGCGGUGGGAAAUAUAGCACAAUGGGCGGAAGCCGGAUGGAGCAACGCCGGGUGGGGGAGGACGGCCGUCGGGUUGUAAACCGCUUUCGCCUGUAACGAAGCGUGAGGAAGGGAAAUGGGGAAAGAAGCACCGGCUAACUAGGU
Molecule: ribosomal RNA, 467 nt
Filed under: uncultured bacterium
Lineage: Bacteria
Description: partial 16S ribosomal RNA
Rfam family: Bacterial small subunit ribosomal RNA
Source: RNAcentral